GGAUGUUGGGGGUGAUCUGGUCGUGACAUCUGUCACCCCACUGAUCUCUAGGGUAGUUUCAGAUGAUCUGGCUGGGUGGGUGGGUGUCCCCUCUCCCCUCCCUGCCUCAGGGAUCCAAGUGCAUCCUUCCCAAAGCUGCACACGGGGUCAAACAGGAUGAUCUUCCCCUGGAUAGAGGAGGACCUGUCUUCAGACAAGUAUGUGUGAGUAGCUCUGCUUCCUCAACAAACCCUCCAAGUGAGCUUGUGAGUCCAUUUUUAAAGAAAAAAAAAGUAAAGACAAAAAGGUGU
RNAcentral lists this small nuclear RNA (290 nucleotides) under Rattus norvegicus (Norway rat). Its description in RNAcentral is "7SK RNA". It matches the Rfam family "7SK RNA". From Rfam's summary of the family: 7SK was discovered as an abundant small nuclear RNA in the mid-70s but a possible function has only recently been suggested. Two independent studies have found that 7SK RNA binds the CDK9/cyclin T complex (known as elongation factor P-TEFb). Lineage: Eukaryota; Metazoa; Chordata; Mammalia; Rodentia; Muridae. The record is from Rfam by way of RNAcentral.